Molecule: ribosomal RNA, 279 nt
Filed under: uncultured bacterium
Lineage: Bacteria
Description: partial 16S ribosomal RNA
Rfam family: Bacterial small subunit ribosomal RNA
Source: RNAcentral
CCCUCGCCUUUAGUUGCCAGCAUGUUUGGGUGGGCACUCUAAAGGAACUGCCGGUGACAAGCCGGAGGAAGGUGGGGAUGACGUCAAGUCCUCAUGGCCCUUAUGUCCUGGGCUACACACGUGCUACAAUGGCGGUGACAGUGGGAAGCCAGGCAGCGAUGCCGAGCUGAUCUCAAAAAGCCGUCUCAGUUCGGAUUGCACUCUGCAACUCGAGUGCAUGAAGUUGGAAUCGCUAGUAAUCGCGGAUCAGCAUGCCGCGGUGAAUACGUUCCCGGGAGA